Molecule: long non-coding RNA, 1229 nt
Filed under: Homo sapiens (human)
Lineage: Eukaryota; Metazoa; Chordata; Mammalia; Primates; Hominidae
Description: HSALNT0208606
Source: RNAcentral
CGGAUUUGGGCUAGCACUGUUUUGAAACUCUUUUCAAUCCAUUUGACUUUCAAAAUGGACUUAGGAAGCUAAGGCUCUGUUUUUAAACUAUUGAAUUAAAAACAAACAGGCGAAAAAGAAAACAAACAAAAAACAGUGAAACACGGAGCCUUCCUCUUUCUGGUAUCUAAGAAAACACAGAGGACUGUUCAGAUCUGUCUGAAAAGACCAGCCGUGAGAGUGCUGCUCCAUGUCCUCUUGGGCUCCUAGGGGAACUCGGUGUCAUUUUCUGGCAUUAUUAUGCAUGUUGAAAACAAGCUGGAAGAGGCUGUAGCUUCAAGUUGCUGAAUCUUUGAAAAAUGCAGGCAAGAACUUCAGUCUUUGAAGUCAUUUUCCCUUUGGGAGGGCUUCCUAUUGACUGGAUGUCACUGAAAGCCAGAAGGCACAAGAUCCUACUGAUGUAAUCCAUGCAGGUUAGCCUCACAGGGCCAGACAGGAGAAGGGAGAUGAAUCAAGUGUGCCUUGGGAAGAGCAAAUAGAAGAUCAGCAGCACCUGCAUCUUGGCAGCUAAUUGACCACAUAUCAAGGAGGAUGGAAUGAGAUACUGAGUCAAAUUUUUAGGUGGCACAAAUAAGGAGGAUGGAAGGAGAUACUAUGUCAAAUUCUUAGGUGGCAUAAAUAAGGUGAAGACAGAAAUUUGGCCAUAAGAUUUAACAAUGUGGAGUUAAUUGAAAAUUUAAAAAGGGGAUAUAUUUGGAACAGAAUAUUGGAGACAAAAGCUAGAUUAGCAAGAGGCUAGGAGUGAAUGGAAAAAGAAUAGGGGGCAUUGAAUAUAGAUAAUGUCUACAAACAGAGCAAGAAUUUCCAAGCCCUUUGUUUGAAUAUCAGGCAAACCGAGGAGCAGAAUUAUAGUAUUAUAUGAUAAAAAUACUUCACUUCUGGGUGCCGAUAUAACUGAGUUCUAAAAGACAGCGAUACCAUUAUUCUUGAACUCUUUGUCCUGAUGGAUGUUUCAAACCAUGUGGGAUGCCAAGAAUGCAAUUUGAACAUGCUUCCACAAGAUACCAAGAAAAUCCAAAAACUGUGACCAAGCAUUUGCAUUUUUGUCUUUUUCAUAUACAUUGCCUCCUGCUUUAUAGCUGCUUCAAGAGUAAAUCAAAAGAAAAGAACUUGAAUUGCUCAUUCUUGCCUAUCCCUGAAAACUCCACUGCAUGUUCUGACCAAUGUCAGGUCUCUCCUUAGCGAGCAAG